AUUGAACGCUGGCGGCAGGCCUAACACAUGCAAGUCGAGCGGUUGAGGUAGCUUGCUACCGAUGCAGCGGCGAACGGGUGAGUAAUACAUGGGAAUCUGCCUGGUAGUGGGGGACAACGUCUCGAAAGGGACGCUAAUACCGCAUACGCCCUACGGGGGAAAGGGGGGGAUCUUCGGACCUCUCGCUAUCAGAUGAGCCCAUGUCAGAUUAGCUAGUUGGUGGGGUAAAGGCUCACCAAGGCGACGAUCUGUAACUGGUCUGAGAGGAUGAUCAGUCACACUGGAACUGAGACACGGUCCAGACUCCUACGGGAGGCAGCCGUGGGGAAUAUUGGACAAUGGGCGCAAGCCUGAUCCAGCCAUGCCGCGUGUGUGAAGAAGGCCUUAGGGUUGUAAAGCACUUUCAGUGGGGAGAAAGGUAAUUCACCUAAUACGUGAGUUAAUUGAUGUUACCCACAGAAGAAGCACCGGCUAACUCCGUGCCAGCCGCCGCCGUAA
This 498-nucleotide ribosomal RNA is filed under the name uncultured bacterium. Its description in RNAcentral is "partial 16S ribosomal RNA". It matches the Rfam family "Bacterial small subunit ribosomal RNA", at positions 30 to 523 of the family's 1533-position model. The record is from RNAcentral.